UCGCACCUGUUGAUUGAUGAGGUUCCUCUAGCUGUAGUUGUGGAACCUUCACUCAAGGUGCAAAAAACAAAAGCUGUUCUGCAGCAGCGGCCAGACAACCGUAGAGAUGGAUCCACAGAUGAUUUGUUUGCAAUACAAGUCAUCUACUAAUUCUAUCUCACACUU
Molecule: non-coding RNA, 165 nt
Organism: Musa acuminata subsp. malaccensis (wild Malaysian banana)
Lineage: Eukaryota; Viridiplantae; Streptophyta; Magnoliopsida; Zingiberales; Musaceae
Source: Rfam